CAUUUGAUAUCUUAAGAAAAAGAAUUGAUUUUUUAAAUCAAAAUAUAGUAUAAAGUAAUUUACUUCAAAUGA
This 72-nucleotide transfer RNA is filed under the name Psyllaephagus sp. RNAcentral's name for it is "tRNA-Lys". The record is from RNAcentral. Lineage: Eukaryota; Metazoa; Arthropoda; Insecta; Hymenoptera; Encyrtidae.